AAAGAGUUCAACCACAAUUCUCAAAAGCUUCACACACUCUUGAUCAAGAUAGUGUGAAGCGAAACCAAUUUAUGGUGCCAACAAAAGCUUCAUCAAUGGAAGGCAACUACAAUUCUCAAACCUUCGAAGCAAAUUCAAGAAUGUUCGAAGCAAAUUCAAUUUAUAUGGUUCAUCCAAACCUUCGACUACUACAAGGUGUGGCUUACAUCACAAUCUCUCGCUCAACAGUGUGGAAACAAAAUUUGUAUAUGUUGUCUCUCCCACAUUUUCAAAUUUCUAGUUUCCCAAAAAAAAAA
RNAcentral lists this long non-coding RNA (296 nucleotides) under Malus domestica (apple). RNAcentral describes it as "long non-coding RNA (MDOM_LNC016548)". Lineage: Eukaryota; Viridiplantae; Streptophyta; Magnoliopsida; Rosales; Rosaceae. The record is from RNAcentral.